Molecule: long non-coding RNA, 836 nt
Filed under: Panax ginseng (ginseng)
Lineage: Eukaryota; Viridiplantae; Streptophyta; Magnoliopsida; Apiales; Araliaceae
Description: long non-coding RNA (PGIN_LNC014310)
Source: RNAcentral
UUUCUUCUUGUUCCCUAGAUAUUUCAUUAUCUGGAUAUUGCUAAUUGUUGGAUGUGAGGAGACAUGAUUUUAUUUUGGGUUGAUUCUUUUUUUCUUUUUCUGUUUUUUAAUUUAAUCAUGGUAUAACUACAGAUCUGGGUUGUUAUUUUGGGUAUAUAAAUGUUUUUUUUUUUUUUUUCGAAUUUGGUGGAUUUUGUGGCUAGCAGCGAUUGUUAAGUAUAGUGAUCUAAUAUUUUUGGCUCUGAGAUGGUAGGAUUUUGAAGAUGGGUUGGUGGAGGAGAAGGAUAUUUGAGGGUGGUGAAUCUAGGGGUUUGAAGAUGGAUUUGCUUGCAUGUAUUUAGUGUGCAAUGGCAGUCGACAGAUGAUCGAGAUGGAUGACUAAACCUGCUGGUGCCCUACGAUUCAUAUCGUUUUGAUUAGGCUGCAGAAUUUGCUGAGAUAUUUAGAGCUUCCUUUAACAUGAAAUUUCAUGUACUUUGCUUAGUCUCCGUUAUUGUCCCCUUACUUGAACAAUGACUUGUUUUGUGGUGCUUGAAAAAUAGCCAAUUUGUCCAAUGAAAAUAGUUUGUUUGGCAGCAAUUUUUUCCCUCUGCAAUUGCUGCUUCCCCAGAUGCUAAUGCCUUGCUUUCUCUUUACAUAUGGGUGUAUAAUUUAAGAUUAUUUUUUAAGCCACUCUGAAGGAAUAGUUUUAGUAAAGAAAAUUCCAAAAAUGGGAACUACGUAAAGUACCCAAACUUCCGGCAGGAAACCCAUUGAAAGAACUCUCAUCACACCUAUGUUGGGAACACAUCAAAGAAUUCACAUCGCACUUCUGUUGAGGACACAUCUGAAAGAAC